UGUGUAGGCGGUUGCUUAAGUUUGGUGUGAAAUCUCCCGGCUUAACUGGGAGGGUGCGCCGAAUACUGAGUGACUAGAGUGCGGGAGAGGAAAGUGGAAUUCCUGGUGUAGCGGUGAAAUGCGUAGAUAUCAGGAGGAACACCGGUGGUGUAGACGGCUUUCUGGACCGUAACUGACGCUGAGACACGAAAGCGUGGGUAGCAAACA
RNAcentral lists this ribosomal RNA (207 nucleotides) under uncultured bacterium. Its description in RNAcentral is "partial 16S ribosomal RNA". It matches the Rfam family "Bacterial small subunit ribosomal RNA", at positions 568 to 774 of the family's 1533-position model. The record is from RNAcentral.